Molecule: ribosomal RNA, 428 nt
Filed under: uncultured bacterium
Lineage: Bacteria
Description: bacterial SSU rRNA
Rfam family: Bacterial small subunit ribosomal RNA
Source: RNAcentral
AUUGAACGCUGGCGGCAUGCCUUACACAUGCAAGUCGAACGGCAGCACGGGAGCAAUCCUGGUGGCGAGUGGCGAACGGGUGAGUAAUAUAUCGGAACGUGCCCAGUCGUGGGGGAUAACGCAGCGAAAGCUGUGCUAAUACCGCAUACGAUCUCUGGAUGAAAGCGGGGGACUCGCAAGAGCCUCGCGCGAUUGGAGCGGCCGAUAUCAGAUUAGCUAGUUGGUGGGGUAAAAGCUCACCAAGGCGACGAUCUGUAGCUGGUCUGAGAGGACGACCAGCCACACUGGAACUGAGACACGGUCCAGACUCCUACGGGAGGCAGCAGUGGGGAAUUUUGGACAAUGGGCGCAAGCCUGAUCCAGCAAUGCCGCGUGCAGGAUGAAGGCCUUCGGGUUGUAAACUGCUUUUGUACGGAACGAAACGGUUC